ACAUUCAGGUAAUCGCUGCAUCAUUUGAUGUAGAGGAAAGUCCAUGCUCGCACGGUCUGAGAUGAUCGUAGUGUUCGUGCCUAGCCAAAAAAUAAGCUAGGGCAAUUUGGUCAAGUAGACUAGAUUGACGGCAGGGAAAAGCACCUAAGGUUAAUUUGACUAUGGGCGAGUACCCUUGAAAGUGCCACAGUGACGAAGCUCUCCUGGAAACGGAAGAGGUGGAACGCGGUAAACCCCACGAGCGAGAAACCCAAAUUUGGUAGGGGAACUAUCUCGAAGGAAUUAAACGGAGAGAUAGACAGAUAGCAGUUGUUAUCUGUAGAUAGAUGAUUACCACCGGAGUACGAGGGUAAAACCGUUUGCAGUACUAAGGUACAAAACAUGGCUUAUCGAA
RNAcentral lists this RNase P RNA (394 nucleotides) under Halalkalibacter krulwichiae. RNAcentral's name for it is "Bacillus krulwichiae Bacterial RNase P class B". It matches the Rfam family "Bacterial RNase P class B". Rfam says of the family: Ribonuclease P (RNase P) is a ubiquitous endoribonuclease, found in archaea, bacteria and eukarya as well as chloroplasts and mitochondria. Its best characterised activity is the generation of mature 5'-ends of tRNAs by cleaving the 5'-leader elements of precursor-tRNAs. The record is from Rfam by way of RNAcentral. Lineage: Bacteria; Bacillati; Bacillota; Bacilli; Caryophanales; Bacillaceae.